Long non-coding RNA from Magallana angulata, 653 nucleotides. RefSeq lists it as uncharacterized. The transcript is spliced from 3 exons. NCBI's taxonomy places the organism in Eukaryota, Metazoa, Mollusca, Bivalvia, Ostreida, Ostreidae. The record is from RefSeq and is a predicted model, not a curated record.
GCCAGAUUAAUUGAUUUUCAUAUUUAUACUGUUUGUUGUAUUUUUUAAUUUAAAUACUUGUAUAUUGUAUUAAAAAGACAGAGCAUGAAUUUGACUGUGAGCAUCUAACUGUGGAAAAUAUAUGAAAAUACUUAGAGUGCAGGGCAUUGGGUUUUCUCUUUCAAUGUGUUCACUGCGAGUUAAUUGAAUGUCACAGCGGGAUGCCAUGGCCAGGGUGAAAGCAGCCGAUCCCAGUUGUACAGUGUCCGCGCUAUUUGUUAUCAAAGUGGGUCAGAAUUUUUGAAAAACCCACGCCAUUUUACAAAGAGCAAGGAUCUAGAAUGGGGGAUAUUUUCGGUAAAUGGGCUAAUCCCAGACCUUGACUACAGUGUACCAUUCCAGAGUGAGAAGCUUAUUAAAGUUCUAUUGUGUUGAUGUCAGCCGAAGAUGACUUUCAUGGUGUAUCAAGCAUAUAGGGCUAAGAAAUUCAAUGAAACACACCUGCUGCAACUAUAACAAUCAAAAUGUGUGAAAACUUUUCAGACAGUUGUGAAACUGUGACCAUUGGGAUGCUGUGAAGUCUUGAUAUCUAAAGACAAUGGAUUAAACAGUGGAUUUAUAUCAUUCAUUUUGUGAAGUAUAGUUCUGUGAUAAUACAGUUGGAAAAUUUUAAA